This 623-nucleotide ribosomal RNA is filed under the name uncultured archaeon. RNAcentral's name for it is "bacterial SSU rRNA". It matches the Rfam family "Archaeal small subunit ribosomal RNA", at positions 147 to 776 of the family's 1478-position model. The record is from RNAcentral.
UAAUACCUAUAGGUUACAGAUGCUGGAAUGCUCUGUAAUCAAAAGUUCCGGCGCCCUAGGAUGGAUCUGCGGCCGAUUAGGUUGUUGUUGGGGUAAUGGCCCAACAAGCCAGUAAUCGGUACGGGUUGUGGGAGCAAGAGCCCGGAGUUGGAUUCUGAGACACGAAUCCAGGCCCUACGGGGCGCAGCAGGCGCGAAAACUUUACAAUGCGGGCAACCGUGAUAAGGGAACCUCGAGUGCCUGUAAAUGCAGGCUGUUCAGAUGCCUAAAACACAUCUGGAGAAAGGGCCGGGCAAGACCGGUGCCAGCCGCCGCGGUAAUACCGGCGGCUCGAGUGGUGGCCACUUUUAUUGGGCUUAAAGCGUUCGUAGCUGGGUUGUUAAGUCUCUUGGGAAAUCUGGCGGCUUAACCGUCAGGCGUCUAAGGGAUACUGGCAAUCUUGGAACCGGGAGAGGUGAGGGGUACUUCGGGGGUAGGAGUGAAAUCCUGUAAUCCUCGAGGGACCACCUGUGGCGAAGGCGCCUCACCAGAACGGCUUCGACAGUGAGGGACGAAAGCUGGGGGAGCAAACCGGAUUAGAUACCCGGGUAGUCCCAGCCGUAAACUAUGCGCGUUAGGUGUAU